This 478-nucleotide ribosomal RNA is filed under the name uncultured bacterium. RNAcentral's name for it is "partial 16S ribosomal RNA". It matches the Rfam family "Bacterial small subunit ribosomal RNA", at positions 28 to 523 of the family's 1533-position model. The record is from RNAcentral.
AGCGAACGCUGGCGGCGUGCUUGACACAUGCAAGUCGAACGGUAAGGCCCUUCGGGGUACACGAGUGGCGAACGGGUGAGUAACACGUGGGUGAUCUGCCCUGCACUUCGGGAUAAGCCUGGGAAACUGGGUCUAAUACCGGAUAGGACCACUGCCUGCAUGGGUGGUGGUGGAAAGCUUUUGCGGUGUGGGAUGGGCCCGCGGCCUAUCAGCUUGUUGGUGGGGUGAUGGCCUACCAAGGCGACGACGGGUAGCCGGCCUGAGAGGGUGACCGGCCACACUGGGACUGAGAUACGGCCCAGACUCCUACGGGAGGCAGCAGUGGGGAAUAUUGCACAAUGGGCGCAAGCCUGAUGCAGCGACGCCGCGUGAGGGAUGACGGCCUUCGGGUUGUAAACCUCUUUCAGCACCGACGAAGCGCAAGUGACGGUAGGUGCAGAAGAAGGACCGGCCAACUACGUGCCAGCCGCCGCAGUAA